GGUUGUUUAAGUGGUUAGAUCGUUCGCCUCGGAAGCGGGAGGGCGCCUGUUCAAACCCGGCUAAAUAAUACCA
Potamilus streckersoni is the source of this 73-nucleotide non-coding RNA. NCBI's taxonomy places the organism in Eukaryota, Metazoa, Mollusca, Bivalvia, Unionida, Unionidae. The record is from the annotation of a GenBank genome assembly.